GUGAGGAAUUUUCCGCAAUGGGCGAAAGCCUGACGGAGCAAUGCCGCGUGAAGGAUGAAGGCCUAUGGGUUGUAAACUUCUUUUCUUAGAGAAGAAUAUUGACGGUAUCUGAGGAAUAAGCCCCGGCUAACUUCGUGCCAGCAGCCGCGGUAAUACGAAGGGGGCGAGCGUUAUUCGGAAUCACUGGGCGUAAAGCGUGCGUAGGCUGUUUUGUAAGUCAGAAGUGAAAGCCCAGGGCUUAACCCUGGAAUUGCUUUUGAAACUACAAGACUCGAAUUCGGGAGAGGAUAGCGGAAUUGUCAGUGUAGCAGUGAAAUGCGUAGAUAUUGACAGGAACACCAGUGGCGCAAGCGGCUAUCUGGACCGAUAUUGACGCUGAGGCACGAAAGCGUGGGGAGCAAACAGGAUUAGAUACCCCGGUAGUCC
RNAcentral lists this ribosomal RNA (426 nucleotides) under uncultured bacterium. RNAcentral describes it as "partial 16S ribosomal RNA". It matches the Rfam family "Bacterial small subunit ribosomal RNA", at positions 354 to 796 of the family's 1533-position model. The record is from RNAcentral.